UACGGGGGGAGCAAGCGUUGUUCGGAUUUACUGGGCGUAAAGGGCGCGUAGGCGGUCGUGACAAGUCACUUGUGAAAUCUCCGGGCUUAACUCGGAACGGUCAAGUGAUACUGUCGGACUAGAGUACAGAAGGGGCAACUGGAAUUCUCGGUGUAGCGGUGAAAUGCGUAGAUAUCGGGAGGAACACCGGUGGCGAAGGCGGUUCUCUGGGCCUUACCUGACGCUGAGGAGCGAAAGCGUGGGGAGCGAACAGGG
Molecule: ribosomal RNA, 255 nt
Filed under: uncultured bacterium
Lineage: Bacteria
Description: partial 16S ribosomal RNA
Rfam family: Bacterial small subunit ribosomal RNA
Source: RNAcentral